RNAcentral lists this unclassified non-coding RNA (223 nucleotides) under plant metagenome. RNAcentral describes it as "partial contains small subunit ribosomal RNA, internal transcribed spacer 1, and 5.8S ribosomal RNA". The record is from RNAcentral.
GUUCCGUAGGUGAACCUGCGGAAGGAUCAUUAUCAUGUAAUUCAGUCCCCUUGGCUGUGUUAUAUAUAUACCCACUCUGUGUACCUUCUCCUGUUGCUUCCGCUGGGUGUGUAAUUCGCCCGGCGGAAGGGUAAAAAUAACCUCUGAGUAUUGAUGAAGUCUCUGUCUGAACCGAAUAGAAAGAAAAAUGUUAAAACUUUCAGCAACGGAUCUCUUGGUUCUC